Molecule: long non-coding RNA, 1806 nt
Organism: Vombatus ursinus (common wombat)
Lineage: Eukaryota; Metazoa; Chordata; Mammalia; Diprotodontia; Vombatidae
Exons: 4
Source: RefSeq, a predicted model, not a curated record
UCAGUGAUCUUGUGCUUCUUUGCCUGUGGACCACGGAAUGUUACGUGAGCUCUCUCUUUUUGCUGGGGAUCCUGCCCCUGACAAAGACCUAGGCAGGUAAGUAGGAAAUAGUAUUAAGCGGCCCUCUGGAGAUUGGACAACACAGCAUCCAGGGGUAGACGUGUGGGUGGAAUGGGCUUUGGCUACAGAAAGCUCCUCCAACACCAGCCCAGGGUGAGUUUCCAGGGAACCAGCUCCUUAAUCUCAGGUGAAGUCAAGGUGGUGCUGAAAGGAAGAAGUCGUGAAUAUGCGUGUGUGUGUGUGUGUGUGUGUGUGACACGCGGGAACCGGUAGCCUGCCGUCCCUUAGCAGGGCUUUGGUUGGGGGUGGUGGGGAGAGUGUCUUGCUGUCUGCCCCUUAGUUUGGUUGACCAUGCGGUGCCGGGCCCAGGACUUCUACCCUGUGCACAUCUCCCUGACUUGGCAGAGAGAUGGGGAGGAACAGCUCCAGGACAUGGAAUUCACUGAGACCAGGCCUGCAGGCCACAGGACCUUCCAGAAGUGGGCAGGUGUGGGAGUGACCUUGGGCCACAAAGGGAAAUGUACCUGCUGAGUUCAGCACAAGGGACUGCCUGAGCCCCUCACCCUGAAGUGGGAGCUACAGUCCUCAUCCGCCUAGCUCAUUGUGGGGGGCAUUGGUGCUGUCCUCAUCCUCAUUUCAGUCAUUGCUGGAGUUGUGAUCUAGAGGAAGAAGGCUUCAGGUAGGCAGGACUGUGGGUUAGGGUCCUUAGGGCCCUGGACCCAUGGAGAUCCUGGCUUCCCCUGACCCUCAGCUUGUCUUUCUGUCCCCAAGUCUUCUCUUUCCCAUCUAAGGGACUCUCACAUGGGCCCUAAGACUCUAGAUGAACAAAAUCCUCAACUAGAAACGGUUUAUCUUGAGGAUGCCUGGUAGGGGUAUAACAGGCUGGCCUAGUGGGGAAUGUGCUUCAGACUCAGAUCAGAAAUGGAUGUGGGGAUCUCUGCCAGAGGGUCUGGGUGUCUCCCAGCUGGGGGCUGCAGACCAGCCUUGGGAACCCCUGGAGGCUGGCCUGGAGGUGGGGAAGUGGCCUAUUUGGGGGGUCCCUUUUCUCUCUUCCUCUUGGAUCCAGGGGCUGGACUGGAGUGGGAGAUGGGGGUGCAGUCCCAGUUGUAAUUUGUUGUGUCUCCAAGGCAAACCAGUGAACUUCUGAGACCUUGGUGUGGUCUCCUCUCAUGGAUUCCUCACUGGAAAUUUUUUUGUUUUCCAAGUGGAAAAGGAGGGGUCUCUGUUCCAGCUGCAGACAAUGACAGUGCACAGGGGUCAGAUGUCUCUCUCCCAGCCAAAGCUUGAGAGAAUUGCCUGGUAUGGGCCUGAGGAAGAAAACAAGCCUCCAGUCCCUGUGUCGUUCCUGUGGACCUCUGGCUUCUUUCCCCGGCACUGGCCCCUGGGAUCCUCCCUGGACUCUACUGGCCCAAGCCCAGGGAAGCAUCAUUAGGCCCUCACCCUGCUCUCUAAGGCCCCCCAUCCCCACCUUCUUUCUUUCUGCCUAUCUCACUCUGAAGGGAAACAACCAACAGUGAGGGCCAGAGGGCUUUGGGAGUGAGCCCUCCUUCACAUUUGACAUUGCACUGACCUCUGGGAUUAUUUUCUGACUGCACAAACAGCCUAAUGAAUCAUUGUUCUUGAAACUUCAGCUUUUCUCCACAAUCUCAACUGAGCUGCACAUUUGGGUCAUGGGAUUUGGGGGACAGGCUGACAGCGUGGAGAUGUUCUGGCCAUAUGAAGGGAAAAUAAGUGAAAGUUUGGAGA